This 72-nucleotide small nucleolar RNA is filed under the name Salmo salar (Atlantic salmon). RNAcentral's name for it is "Small nucleolar RNA SNORD50 (ENSSSAG00000112914.1)". It matches the Rfam family "Small nucleolar RNA SNORD50". From Rfam's summary of the family: U50 belongs to the C/D class of snoRNA which contain the C (UGAUGA) and D (CUGA) box motifs. Lineage: Eukaryota; Metazoa; Chordata; Actinopteri; Salmoniformes; Salmonidae. The record is from RNAcentral.
UAUUACGGAUGACCCUAUCCCGAACCUGAUUCCUGUAAGAUUGACAACCCUGUCGGAUCUGACUUCUGAAAU